RNAcentral lists this long non-coding RNA (909 nucleotides) under Linum usitatissimum (flax). RNAcentral's name for it is "long non-coding RNA (LUSI_LNC003210)". Lineage: Eukaryota; Viridiplantae; Streptophyta; Magnoliopsida; Malpighiales; Linaceae. The record is from RNAcentral.
AAAUACAAAAUUGCCUUCAAGCUCAUUCCUUCCUCCAGAACUAUUUAUUUUGCUGAAAAAAUACAAAAAAAUUAAACAAUGUUUAGAAUCAUUCUUCCAACAUCCAUGGAUAGCAUUCAUACAGUAUCAGAAAUUUGAACCUAAUAGUUCAAACUCAAUAAAUAAUAUUCGUACAAAACAACUCCAAAAUAACAGUCAACAAUUCAAUUCAUCGUUCCAAAUACCAACUUUGUAGUCAUAUUCCCCCUUCCACGAACUCAUUGUUGUAACUCUCUAUUGAUUGCUUCUAACAACUUGAAAACGAAAUAGAGGCGAUAAUCGUUGAUGCUCAACCUAUAGAAGACCUACAGAUCUCUAGCAUUCUCGUCACGAAAGAGAAAGACACCGACAUCAAUAGCCUGCAAAUGAAUAUUUGAAUGUGAUUUUCACCAACACCUGAAAAAUAACAUCAGACUAGGCUUGACAUUGAUAACAUGGAUACUUAUCUGGUGAUGAGCUAAUCCAGAUAGAUUAAUAAGAUCGUUGAUAAUUGAUCGCCUCAUCUGUUUAGUACUAAUGUCCUCCCCGCACAUUUUGUUAAUCAUUAGUUCUAUUGCCUUAUCCAAUGGAAAGAUGCACAAAUCUGGAAGCAACACAUCUAGAAUCAAUUAAACUCGGGACAUACCUUCAAACUCGCAGAAUUUCUGUUUACUUCGACCGCAGAUGAAUCUGCCGCUGUGUAAUCCCACUCAGAGACAAGAAUCGGAAACUCCCGAUUGAAAGCUACGAGACGCUGCCGCGAAAUCCCACUCAGAGACUAGAAACAGGGAAGCAUCGAUUGACAGCUGCAAAAUCGUCGUCGUGGGAAGCAGAAUCCCCAAUCGAAAGCGCGAGACGUCCCCGUGAAACCCCUUUAGAGACCAGAAAUGG